This 254-nucleotide ribosomal RNA is filed under the name uncultured bacterium. RNAcentral describes it as "partial 16S ribosomal RNA". It matches the Rfam family "Bacterial small subunit ribosomal RNA", at positions 524 to 776 of the family's 1533-position model. The record is from RNAcentral.
UACGUAGGUGGCAAGCGUUAUCCGGAAUUACUGGGCGUAAAGCGCACGCAGGCGGUCUUUUAAGUUUGACGUGAAAGCUCCCGGCUUAACUGGGAGAGGUCGUUGAAUACUGGAAGACUUGAGGAAAUGAGAGGGGUGUAGAAUUCCUGGUGUAGUGGUGGAAUGCGUAGAUAUCAGGAGGAAUACCAGUGGCGAAAGCGGCACCCUAGCAAUUUUUCUGACGCUCAUGUGCGAAAGCGUGGGGAGCGAACGGG